UAUUGAUGUAGAAAUAAAAAUGAAAAUAAUUAAGAAAAUGCAGAAACAUCGAGCUAAUUAUAAGACUGAAAAUGUUAAAAACAUGAAAUUAAUUAAUUUUUCAGAAUUUCAAUACCUAUUUAAUAUUUAUACCAUACCUAUAUUGAUCAUUUUAUUUCUCAACUAGAAUUAAGAUUUGUGGAUCAGUGAAUCAUAAAAAAAAUGUUUGAAGGUUUUGAAUGUUUAUUAUUAAAUCAAUCCUUAGUAUCUAAAGAAGAACUAAAAUCAUUCAACAGUUUAUUAGAGUUUUAUAUGGCAUAUCACAUAUGCCUUUAAUUGAUUCCAAUAAUUCUACAGCAGAAUAAAAGUUGUGGAUAAUUAAAUUCACCAGGCUCAAAUGCUAAAUGUUGUUUCAAAAACUAAUCUUGAAGCAUUUUUAGUUAGAUUUAACCCAUUUUCAAACUUUAAUAAAUUAUUAAAAAUUGUAUACACAUUAGCCAUUAGGUACUUAUUAGUUUCAACAGCUACUCCUGAAAGAACGUUUUCAACACUCAAUUAAAAACAUAUUUAAGGAACACUAGGGGUCAGAAUCAAAUUUAUGGACUUUGCAUACUAUCAGUGUACAAAAAUAUUACAGCGACACCUAAUGCUGAUGAGGUAAUCAAUGUACUUUUAUUAUCAAUAUUGUUUAAAAAAUGGUUAGAUACUUAGAUAUAUAAUGGGGAUUUGUAUCUCGUGGUUUGGAUACUAGUUUAAAUUAAGUACCUAUAUUGUGUAAGUUAUAGAUUAAAUGUCAUAUUACUCAUAUUUUAUUGUUUUUAUGUAUUUUAGAUUUAAAAUUAAUUUAUGAUUUUUAUUGUGAUAUUAUGAAAUUUACAAACUUUAUUCAAUGCCGCCCAAUUGCUGUUUAAACCAAUUCAUGUUAAUUUUUUCUUAUUUAUUAGAUCAUUCUCGAACCAAAUCCAACUGUAUUUAGUUACAAUUCCAUAAAAAUAUGCCAAUCUAGCCAAUAUGUAGAUAAGUAUUUAAUUUAUAUUAAUUUAUAAUAUUGUAUAAUAAGUCAUUAUAAUUUAUUCAUUUGUUUUAUUUUUUAUACGUAUUGUUUUAUUGUGACGUCCAAUGAAACUGUUCUAUUGUUCAUGUCAUAGUGUAGGUACCAAAUUAUACAUAGGUAGGUAUUUAAUAUAUGUGUAUUAUAAUAAAAUAUAAUAUAUUCGUUUGUUUUUUCUUUCACGAAUUGAUGCGGAAAUUAAAUAUACGUGAAAAUAAUAGAUAGUAAAUAUUAAAUACCAUGCAACUUAUCCAGUGAAUACCGUUAAUUCAAAUUCAAUCGUAGAAUUGAUUAUUAUUAUUUAUUACCAGUGGUUUACCUAAGGUUAUUGGUGCAUGGGAACUUGUCGCUAGAGUAUUGGUAGAUAAUCAAAUUGUCCGUUCAUACAACGUUACAAAGAAAUAAAAUAAAACAAUAGAAAACCACAAUUGGUCAAUAGUUUCAUGCAAGUGACGAAAAAUGACAUUUACAGUUUUGUGAUAUUGGACAUUACGUAAAAUAGAUCGGGAUCCAAUACUCGGAAAUAUAUUAAUUUUUGCUCUAAAUUAACGUUGUUCAAUCAAGAAUCAAAAUUAAUUCAAAUAAAUGAUUUAUAUUUUGCUAACAUAACUAUUAUUCUUAUGAAAACAGCAACUUAAUUUAAUUUAACAUAGUGGAAAAUCAAAAAAUAAAAUUGCGUUUUAUUAAAAUUAAAGAAAAAAUUAGAAAAUUCAUUCAAUUGGAAUCUUCUUACUAAUUGCUGUAAAAACCGCAUUUAAAUAAUUUUUUGAAUUGGCACGGAUAUACAUCGGGUGAUACGAGGUUUCUGGAACAUAUUGUAUUAGGUUCCUAUAAUUGCUCUACAUCAGAUUAAUUAUUAAUAACUACUAAUAAGACACAGCUGGAUAUUGUCGUUUUUUUUUAAACAUUUAAAGAAAAAACGAUAAAAAUAUAUUAAUAUAUCGUUAUGAAAUGAUUGGUUAUAAAUUCUUGAUUGUUUUUUCAAUAAUAUAAAAAUUAUUUAUAUUUUAUUGAAGUAGCGGUUAAUAUAAUAUAAUAUAUUUAAUUUCUGUUACUUCAUUUUUUUUGUCAGUUUAUAUAGUUUAUA
Aphis gossypii (cotton aphid) is the source of this 2117-nucleotide long non-coding RNA. RefSeq lists it as uncharacterized. NCBI's taxonomy places the organism in Eukaryota, Metazoa, Arthropoda, Insecta, Hemiptera, Aphididae. The transcript is spliced from 3 exons. The record is from RefSeq and is a predicted model, not a curated record.